GGACGAGUUGCGCGCGCCCACAGCAGCCGCCUUGCGCCUUCUCCCAACGGCCGGACUGCGCUGCCUCGCCUCGCUCUGCAGCCGCGAGCCGGGCUUCGUCCCUGUGCCUGCGCAGCCAGCCUGUGCUGCGUGUAAAACCGGGUCCCGCUACACGCCCUGCGCCAUGAGUAGGAAGACUCACCUGGAAAAGAAUGACAACAUCUCCUCCAGGUCUUGCAAACUGGUGGGCUCCAUUUUGCCUGAGAAAGAGUUCCAGAACCAGAUGAGACCCAGAGAACCAACAUGAGACAUGGUACGAGCAGCCAUGCUGGAACACACAGAUAAACACGUAGACUCAAGUGCCCACAUGAUCACCACAGCAAGAGUACCUGCUGAUAAGCCAGUCCGAAUUGCCUUCAGUCUAAAUGACUCCCCAGGUACAGUUCAAUUUUAUGGAAUAAAUGCAAAUGAAAUGUUUCUAGGUUUUAUAUGU
RNAcentral lists this long non-coding RNA (472 nucleotides) under Terrapene triunguis (Three-toed box turtle). RNAcentral's name for it is "Terrapene carolina triunguis (Three-toed box turtle) lncRNA (ENSTMTG00000020427.1)". Lineage: Eukaryota; Metazoa; Chordata; Testudines; Emydidae. The record is from RNAcentral.